This 497-nucleotide ribosomal RNA is filed under the name uncultured bacterium. Its description in RNAcentral is "partial 16S ribosomal RNA". It matches the Rfam family "Bacterial small subunit ribosomal RNA", at positions 28 to 507 of the family's 1533-position model. The record is from RNAcentral.
GAUGAACGCUGGCGGCGUGCCUAAUACAUGCAAGUCGAGCGAACAGACGAGGAGCUUGCUCCUCUGACGUUAGCGGCGGACGGGUGAGUAACACGUGGAUAACCUACCUAUAAGACUGGGAUAACUUCGGGAAACCGGAGCUAAUACCGGAUAAUAUAUUGAACCGCAUGGUUCAAUAGUGAAUGACGGUUUUGCUGUCACUUAUAGAUGGAUCCGCGCCGCAUUAGCUAGUUGGUAAGGUAACGGCUUACCAAGGCAACGAUGCGUAGCCGACCUGAGAGGGUGAUCGGCCACACUGGAACUGAGACACGGUCCAGACUCCUACGGGAGGCAGCAGUAGGGAAUCUUCCGCAAUGGGCGCAAGCCUGACGGAGCAACGCCGCGUGAGUGAUGAAGGUCUUCGGAUCGUAAAACUCUGUUAUUAGGGAAGAACAAAUGUGUAAGUAACUAUGCACGUCUUGACGGUACCUAAUCAGAAAGCCACGGCUAACUACGUG